Malus domestica (apple) is the source of this 298-nucleotide non-coding RNA. NCBI's taxonomy places the organism in Eukaryota, Viridiplantae, Streptophyta, Magnoliopsida, Rosales, Rosaceae. The record is from RefSeq and is a predicted model, not a curated record.
AAUCUUUGAUUUUGAGUCUUUCCGAAAGCUGUUAUCAUCUCCAAAAUCCAUAUUCUGGUAUGUAGAUAGCUGCUAAGUGCUGCAACUCACUAAGUUUGGCCACAUGCCUUCAUUGUAGCAUAUGCCCUCUGUGACAAGUAUAUAUAUUUUGGCCAUUUGAUAAUGUGAAUGAAUACGCAAGGUUUUGAUGAUACUAUGUAGUCGGGUUUGUACUUACUCUUGGGCUGCCGCUGGCAUUGGCCUUCAAUUCACCAUUAAAUGCGGAAGAGGAAGUCCACCUGCCAUAUGGUUAGAGCCU